Nicotiana attenuata is the source of this 72-nucleotide transfer RNA. It matches the Rfam family "tRNA". From Rfam's summary of the family: Transfer RNA (tRNA) molecules are approximately 80 nucleotides in length. Their secondary structure includes four short double-helical elements and three loops (D, anti-codon, and T loops). Further hydrogen bonds mediate the characteristic L-shaped molecular structure. tRNAs have two regions of fundamental functional importance: the anti-codon, which is responsible for specific mRNA codon recognition, and the 3' end, to which the tRNAs corresponding amino acid is attached (by aminoacyl-tRNA synthetases). tRNAs cope with the degeneracy of the genetic code in two manners: having more than one tRNA (with a specific anti-codon) for a particular amino acid; and 'wobble' base-pairing, i.e. permitting non-standard base-pairing at the 3rd anti-codon position. Lineage: Eukaryota; Viridiplantae; Streptophyta; Magnoliopsida; Solanales; Solanaceae. The record is from Rfam.
UGGAGUAUAGCCAAGUGGUAAGGCAUCGGUUUUUGGUACAGGCAUGCAAAGGCUCGAAUCCUUUUACUCCAG